Long non-coding RNA from Monodelphis domestica (gray short-tailed opossum), 1226 nucleotides. NCBI's taxonomy places the organism in Eukaryota, Metazoa, Chordata, Mammalia, Didelphimorphia, Didelphidae. The record is from Ensembl.
AAGAUGGGGUAGUCAUCAGACAGAGUUUCUCAGCCUUUCAUGAUUGGACAUUUUUGCUGAUACCUUGAAACUGAUUAGAACCUCCGAAAGCUGGACUGGAUAGAUAGGAGGGCAGGCUGUUGCUGGGGACUGACAUGACCAGUCGAUCUCAAGGGUUAUUAGGAGCACACAUUGUGGGCUUUGGGAUUGCUUGCAUUGGAUUUUGAAGACAAAAUCACCAGCCAGAGAUGUAUAAAGAGAUAAUGCUUUUGUUUCUUUUGUUAAGCCAUGCUUCAACGCAAACUGAAACAUAUCCCUCAGAAUCACCAGACCCAACUGAGCAUAAAAUUGAUGAAUCGGAAUAUGACAGCACUAGUACAAACGUGCAAAGUAAUGGACACCAAUCCACACCGAAACCAGAACUUAAAGAAGGAUCAGGAAAUCGCUUGACCCACGCUAUCUCUGGACCAGUGGUCACCAUCAUAGUUUUUGCUGUAAUGGCUGUCAUCGUUGGAGUCAUCAUCCUUGUGUCACUCUUGGUUCGUCGACUGACAAGGAAAAAUUCAUUCAACCUGAAGAACAAGGACACAGUCUCCCCUUAAGAUUCUAAUGAGAGAAAAAGCAGAAUAGUAACAUGUAAAAACAUCCUCCCAAAAUGACUGGAAAAGAUCCCGAGAAGACGACUGUAUAAAUGAUUCUGUGGAAAAGUGGGAAGCAUUGUUCUGUCACAAUAAUAGAAGGCAUCGCUCUGGACUGGAGACAACAUUUCAUCCAGAAGCCCCUACUCUAGGGACUCAAUGAUGGACAAAUGGCCCUGCUGACCCAACGUUUUUGAUAUUGUUAAAAGUUGUUUUAUUCAUACUCUUGCUUAAGUUUUGUAUUUGCUUAAUCGCCGAGUUAAGAGUUUAGGAACUAACCUGUGAUCUCCCAUCACAUCUUUGGAAAGGUGUUCUACUGGCCUGAUAAUCACUUUAGACUGGGUACCUAAAGACAUUGCAAUGCCAUCAUCUUCAGAUUUGUUUAAACCUUCAGUUCUCCCUACUACUUCUACUAACCUUUUGACCUGGGCAACAAAGGUGCUAGCAUGCCUAUACAUGGAAAUGUUUCACAUGCCAAUGUAAAUUCUGCUCACAAAGGCAAUUAGCCCAGUACAUACAGUAUCAUGGUAUCAGAAUCAUUUAAGGAUUCUGUAAUGGUGUAACAAAGCAUACCAUUUAAUGCAGAAAAGAGACUGUGAAAUAUAAAAG